RNAcentral lists this ribosomal RNA (465 nucleotides) under uncultured bacterium. RNAcentral's name for it is "partial 16S ribosomal RNA". It matches the Rfam family "Bacterial small subunit ribosomal RNA", at positions 28 to 507 of the family's 1533-position model. The record is from RNAcentral.
GACGAACGCUGGCGGCGUGCUUAACACAUGCAAGUCGAACGGAAAGGCCCUGCUUGCAGGGUACUCGAGUGGCGAACGGGUGAGUAACACGUGGGUGAUCUGCCCUGCACUUCGGGAUAAGCCUGGGAAACUGGGUCUAAUACCGGAUAGGAGCCAUUUUUAGUGUGAUGGUUGGAAAGUUUUUUCGGUGUAGGAUGAGCUCGCGGCCUAUCAGCUUGUUGGUGGGGUAAUGGCCUACCAAGGCGGCGACGGGUAGCCGGCCUGAGAGGGUGGACGGCCACAUUGGGACUGAGAUACGGCCCAGACUCCUACGGGAGGCAGAAGUGGGGAAGAUUGCACAAUGGGCGCAAGCCUGAUGCAGCGACGCCGCGUGGGGGAUGACGGCCUUCGGGUUGUAAACUCCAUUCGCUAGGGACGAAGCUUUUUGUGACGGUACCUAGAUAAGAAGCACCGGCUAACUACGUG